RNAcentral lists this ribosomal RNA (707 nucleotides) under Pallidibacillus thermolactis subsp. kokeshiiformis. RNAcentral's name for it is "bacterial SSU rRNA". It matches the Rfam family "Bacterial small subunit ribosomal RNA", at positions 76 to 765 of the family's 1533-position model. Lineage: Bacteria; Bacillati; Bacillota; Bacilli; Caryophanales; Bacillaceae. The record is from RNAcentral.
AAGCUUGCUUUUCUUGAGGUUAGCGGCGGACGGGUGAGUAACACGUGGGCAACCUACCUGUAAGACUGGGAUAACUUACGGAAACGUGAGCUAAUACCGGAUAGUUUCACUUCUCGCAUGAGAAGUGAAGGAAAGAUGGCUUUUAGCUAUCACUUACAGAUGGGCCCGCGGCGCAUUAGCUAGUUGGUGGGGUAAAGGCCUACCAAGGCAACGAUGCGUAGCCGACCUGAGAGGGUGAUCGGCCACACUGGGACUGAGACACGGCCCAGACUCCUACGGGAGGCAGCAGUAGGGAAUCUUCCGCAAUGGACGAAAGUCUGACGGAGCAACGCCGCGUGAGCGAAGAAGGUCUUCGGAUCGUAAAGCUCUGUUGUUAGGGAAGAACAAGUACCGGAGUAACUGACGGUACCUUGACGGUACCUAACCAGAAAGCCACGGCUAACUACGUGCCAGCAGCCGCGGUAAUACGUAGGUGGCAAGCGUUGUCCGGAAUCAUUGGGCGUAAAGCGCGCGCAGGCGGUCCUUUAAGUCUGAUGUGAAAUCUUGCGGCUCAACCGUAAGCGGUCAUUGGAAACUGGGGGACUUGAGUGCAGGAGAGGAAAGCGGAAUUCCAUGUGUAGCGGUGAAAUGCGUAGAGAUAUGGAGGAACACCAGUGGCGAAGGCGGCUUUCUGGCCUGUAACUGACGCUGAGGCGCGAAAGCGUGGG